UAAAAACUUCUCUAUUCUCCCUGGGUAGUGGGGCCAGUAUUUGGUAGCUGGUGCUGAAAUUGAAAACCUUUGAUUACAUCCUUGCCCUGGGAUUGUGUCAGUGGCAACUGUCACUCAAUGGGACAGAG
Molecule: small nucleolar RNA, 128 nt
Organism: Bison bison bison
Lineage: Eukaryota; Metazoa; Chordata; Mammalia; Artiodactyla; Bovidae
Source: Ensembl